RNAcentral lists this ribosomal RNA (253 nucleotides) under uncultured bacterium. Its description in RNAcentral is "partial 16S ribosomal RNA". It matches the Rfam family "Bacterial small subunit ribosomal RNA", at positions 524 to 776 of the family's 1533-position model. The record is from RNAcentral.
UACGUAGGGUGCGAGCGUUGUCCGGAAUUAUUGGGCGUAAAGAGCUCGUAGGCGGUUUGUCGCGUCUGCUGUGAAAUCCCGAGGCUCAACCUCGGGCUUGCAGUGGGUACGGGCAGACUAGAGUGCGGUAGGGGAGACUGGAAUUCCCGGUGUAGCGGUGGAAUGCGCAGAUAUCAGGAGGAACACCGAUGGCGAAGGCAGGUCUCUGGGCCGCAACUGACGCUGAGGAGCGAAAGCGUGGGGAGCGAACGGG